This 1242-nucleotide ribosomal RNA is filed under the name metagenome. Its description in RNAcentral is "bacterial LSU rRNA". It matches the Rfam family "Bacterial large subunit ribosomal RNA", at positions 1564 to 2816 of the family's 2925-position model. The record is from RNAcentral.
UGAAUACGAGACGCUAAGGCGUCGAAGUAGUGUAUGUCAUACUUCCAAGAAAAGCUUGCACUGUCAUAGAUAAAAAACGCCUGUACCAUAACCGACACAGGUAGGUAGGUAGAGUAUACUAAGGGGCGCGAGAUAACUCUCUCUAAGGAACUCGGCAAAAUAACUCCGUAACUUCGGGAGAAGGAGUGCCUUAUUCGUAAGGUUGCAAUAACAAGAUCCAAGCAACUGUUUAUCAAAAACACAGGUCUCCGCUAAGUCGUAAGACGAUGUAUGGGGGCUGACGCCUGCCCAGUGCCAGAAGGUUAAAGAAGUUGGUUAGCAAUUGCGAAGCUGAUAACUGAAGCCCUGGUGAACGGCGGCCGUAACUAUAACGGUCCUAAGGUAGCGAAAUUCCUUGUCGGGUAAGUUCCGACCCGCACGAAAGGCGUAAUGAUUUGGAUACUGUCUCGGAGAGGGGCUCGGUGAAAUAGACUUGUCUGUGAAGAUGCGGACUACCUGCACCAGGACAGAAAGACCCUAUGAAGCUUUACUGUAACUUGAAAUUGAAAUUGGACUUUAUUCGCGCAGUAUAGGUGGGAGGCGUUGAUUAUAAUCUUGUGGGAUUAUUGGAGCCAUCAGUGAGAUACCACUCUUGUAAUGUUAGAUUUCUAACUUUGAAUCAUUAUCUGGUCAAAGAACAGUUUCAGGCGGGCAGUUUGACUGGGGCGGUCGCCUCCUAAACGGUAACGGAGGCGUACAAAGGUUUCCUCUGAACGGUUAGAAAUCGUAUCUAGAGUGUAAAGGCAUAAGGAAGCUUGACUGUGAGACCUACAAGUCGAGCAGGGACGAAAGUCGGUCUUAGUGAUCUGACGGUACUGAGUGGAAAGGCCGUCACUCAACGGAUAAAAGUUACUCUAGGAUAACAGGCUGAUCUCCCCCAAGAGUUCACAUCGACGGGGAGGUUUGGCACCUCGAUGUCGGCUCAUCGCAUCCUGGGGCGGUAGUACGUCCCAAGGGUUGGGCUGUUCGCCCAUGAAAGCGGUACGCGAGCUGGGUUCAGAACGUCGUGAGACAGUUCGGUCCAUAUCCGGUGUAGGCGUUAGAAUAUUGAGAGGAGCCUUCUUUAGUACGAGAGGACCGAGAAGGACAUACCUCUGGUGUACCAGUUAUCGUGCCAACGGUAAACGCUGGGUAGCUAUGUAUGGAGUGGAUAACCGCUGAAAGCAUCUAAGUGGGAAGCCCACCUCAAGAUAAGUAUUCUCA